This 228-nucleotide ribosomal RNA is filed under the name Triticum aestivum (bread wheat). RNAcentral describes it as "partial small subunit ribosomal RNA". Lineage: Eukaryota; Viridiplantae; Streptophyta; Magnoliopsida; Poales; Poaceae. The record is from RNAcentral.
AUGAAUAUUUUGGCCUGGAACUGUCGAGGACUGGGGUUGGACUCAACAGUUGGCGAACUGAGGGACCUGAUUCGGUCGUACAACCCAGCGGUGGUCUUUUUGAGUGAAACAAAAAAGAAGGCGGGUGCGAUGCAGAGACUUAUGUGGAGGUUAGGUUUUCGGAAUGGAGUGGCGGUGGACUGUGAGGGCCUAAGUGGUGGACUAGCACUAUGGUGGAGAGAUAACUUA